AGGAAACUGUAGGACUCACUGAACUUGAGCAGAUAUUUGGACUGACAAAAUAUAAUAUUGAGGAACCGCCUUUACUAAUGCAGGUCCGUUUGUUCUACAAUGGUUGUGCUGCCAAGGGAACCCUUCUUGUAAAAAAAAAUCUUCCUCCUGGAACAAUUCAGAUACGGCACUCAAUGAUAAAAGUUGAGCAAGAUAAAGAACU
Telopea speciosissima is the source of this 202-nucleotide long non-coding RNA. RefSeq lists it as uncharacterized. NCBI's taxonomy places the organism in Eukaryota, Viridiplantae, Streptophyta, Magnoliopsida, Proteales, Proteaceae. The record is from RefSeq and is a predicted model, not a curated record. The transcript has 3 exons.